This is a long non-coding RNA of Papio anubis (olive baboon), 2085 nucleotides long. NCBI's taxonomy places the organism in Eukaryota, Metazoa, Chordata, Mammalia, Primates, Cercopithecidae. The record is from Ensembl.
GGAGAUAUUAACUUUUUGCCAUCCUGAUGGAAUAGUGGCUCAGGAUAUAAAUUUAGCUGAGUUACAUAAGAAUAAAACUGAUAUAUUUCUUGUGCACCUAAAUCUGUGGCCUUAGAUUCAUACCCACUAUACAUAUUAUUCACAUCAGAGUCCUACGAGUUGGAGAGGUUGAUCCAGAGCUACUUACCUACUAUGUGCACCAUUGGAGUUUCAAUUUCCCCAUAAGUCAACUAAGGAUUUUAAUACCCAUUGCAUGAGGUUAAUAAGAAGACUCAAUGAGAUGAUGUAUGCUGUAUAAGUUGCCAGGCCCACUCAAAAUAGAUACUCUAGAAAAAUGCUAUUUCCCUCACCCCAAUAUUAUUAUUUCAAUCAAUAUACAUAAAAUGUUACAAUUUCCAAGUUUACAACUGGUUAUACAUUAGUUAUACUUUAGGUUGGCUGCUUCAUGAUGGCAUUUUAGCAUCUUAAUCUCAUCAGUAAAAUGUCCUCAAAUCACAUGGAUUACUUCUGGGAAGAAUUUCUGUGGCCGGUUAGUCCCACCCACAAUGUGUGGUUUCCAGUAAGCUUCAAUCAAAGAGAGUGUCCCCUCCCUGACCUGAGCAUGCUGUCAUUUCCCAGUCCUUUUGCCACAAUCAUCUCAGAGUCCAUCUUUUGGCAUGCUAUCCCUCUGUCUUUUAUACAGAAGUUAAGCCAUGGCCUUCUCGUUCCAGGUCCAGGAAGUGUGUGCUGCACCAUUGUAGGACAUCUCCUGUUACUAGAACUUCACAUUUAGGCCAGGCACAGUGGCUCACACCUGUAAUUGCAACACUUUGAGAGGCCGAGGUGGGAGGAUCACGAGGUCAAGAGCUCAAGACCAUCCUGGCCAACACGGUGAAACCCCAUCUCUACUAAAAAUACAAAAAUCAGCUGCGUGUGGUGAUGUGUGCCUGUAGUCCCAGACUUGAGAAUAUACGUGCCAAGAUGAUGGAACAGAAAAUCAGAAACAGCCUGAGUAUCUGAUGACCUUGUAAAUCUGCCAUAUCAGCUGUGGAUGGCCUCCUUGUGACUCCUAAUAUGGAAGAGAAUGAACUAUUUUGUGUCAAAGCUGCUCUAAGUGGAUCUUUGUUAUCAGCAGUUGAGCGCAAUUUCUUAGGGAACAGAUGAUAUUUAAAGCCAUGGAACUGGAUGAGAUCACCUGGGAAGUGAAUGGAGGUAGAGGAGAGUAGAGGAUCAUGCCAGAGCCUAUGGAAUUCUAGCAUGCUGAUGUUCAGGAAGAGGAAGAGGAUGCAGAAAGAGAUCAGCCAUGAAGGAUCAAUUAAGUAGCAGGACAACCAGGCCUCUGUGAUGUCUUGGAAGCAAGUGAAGAAAAUGUUUGCCCAAUGCUGCUCAUAGGCCAAAUUAGAGGAAAACUGAGAAGGAGCCAUUGGAUUUAGCAACAUGGAGGUCACUGGUGACCCUGACGAGAGCAAGUUCAGGGGGAGGUGGGGAAAAGCCUGAAUUGAAUGGAGACUGGAAGAAGAAGACAGAAAGUAUAAGCAACUCUUUCAAGUAAUUUUUGCUUCAGAGGAGGGCAGAGACCCAGGGCAGUAGCUGGAGAAGUAGGCUCAAAAGAAGUUGUACUGGCCGGGCAUGGUGGCUCACACCUGUAAUCCAGCAGUUUGAGAGGCCGAGGUGGGCAGAUCACUUGAGGUCAAGAGUUUGAGACCAGGUCAACAUGGUGAAACCUUGUCAUUACUAAAAAUACAAAAAUUAACUGGGUGUGAUAGCAUGCACCUGUAGUCCCAGCUACUUAGGAGGCUGAGGCAAGAGAAUUGCUUGAACCCUGGAGGCAAGGAUUGCAGUAAGCCAAGAUCACACCACUACACUCCAGUCUGUGCAACAGAGUAAGACUCAGUCUCAAAAAAAAAAAAGAGUCGCAUUUUUUUAAGAUGAGAAAAACAAUAGCAUAUUUGAUGCUUAUAGGAAUGAUCUAAUUUAAUAACGCAGGAAUGAGAAGGUAGAAUUGUUGGUGUGAUGUCUUUGUUUAAGUCAAGUUGCUCCCUGAGUUUCACUCAAAUACUCACUUUAUUAUGUUUCCAUAACUAUCACAUAGCUAACUUUUCCUGG